AGGAGAGGCAUUGACUUCGGGAGAAGUCGUGACAGAAACAUUGAGACAAUUGCCCAUUAUUUUGUUUUUCCAAGGACCCAGAAAAUGGAGGCAGUGGGAUAACCUAUUCAAAGAGCUGUAAAUUCCUGUCUGCAGAUGAAGAGGUCCCAAUGAAUGUCACAAGAGAAUAAGAGUACAUCCGUGUAUACCAUUGGUUAUAUGUGUACCUAUGUUAACAAAUGUUGUAAACAAAAAAUACAGUACCACUGGAAUUCUUUUGGACAAUAAUGUCCUCCUCUAGGCUAGAUGGACAUAUCCCCUUUUUGUAGGCCUAGAAAAGAUGGUUGCAUUCAAGACAAUGUUGUUUUUUAUUUUAUUGAUCUGUUUGUCAAGUGUUAGUUAGCAGAGUAGGCCUAGGCUAUCCCUUGAUCUGUCAUAUUAAAAAAAUAUUCUGCUAAUGUCUUUGGUCAUGUAAAGAGUAGUGGAAUUGCAUGAAAUGUGUUUAUCAAAGACCACAUUUUUCCUGUGCAAAGGAGAGAAAAGAAAUGUCUCUGAUAGAGCCUAUAGGCCUAUGCCUCUACUCGCUCAGACACAGUGAUUAGAUUAUUAAUAGCCUAAUAAAUGAUGUCACUAUCCAAUCUACUCAUCACAUUAGGAAUAGUUGGCUUACAAAAUGUGAUGUUAGAUUCUUGCAAUGCUUUCUUAUAACGGUGCAUUUCUACAGUGAAAAAUUAUGCACUGCCUACUUCAUGAGAGAGACGCAAGCUAAAAGAUAACUUGUAGUCUAUCUCGCUAGCUAAUGUUGGCCAACUUAGUCUUCUUGUUAACACCUGGUUAGCAUAACAGCUAAACCCGAAAUCGAUCAGAUUUCCGAAUAAUUGAAUUAUUAGAGUAGACGUACUGACAGCUGUCUGGGUUCUGGUCUUGACGGGUAAAAAGGUUCUUGAGUCUUAAUUAUUUCCUUGGUGUUUCAUGAUUGUGGGUAAUCUGUAAAAAAUAUUUUUUUGCCCGUUGUCUUUCCUGCCUUGUUAGAGCAGCCAAAUACUGCACGAAAAUGUACAGUGGUGAUAAAUUAAGUCGUUUUGGGCACAGUUAUCGUGCAGCUAGGGGUAGCCAAUCAUCUGUGGUUGUCGCAAGAAUUGAUACUGUGGUCUUCCAACAUGUGGUCUCCCUCUGUGCAUGUAUACAGCUUUUUUUUAAUACCAUUUACAUUUUUUUUUAAAUAUAACCAUUUUAAAUGUGCAUUAAAGCUCCAUAGGCUUGAAUGGGCA
This is a long non-coding RNA of Oncorhynchus masou masou (cherry salmon), 1250 nucleotides long. RefSeq lists it as uncharacterized. Lineage: Eukaryota; Metazoa; Chordata; Actinopteri; Salmoniformes; Salmonidae. The transcript has 2 exons. The record is from RefSeq and is a predicted model, not a curated record.